UACGUAGGUGGCGAGCGUUGUCCGGAUUUACUGGGCGUAAAGAGCGCGCAGGCGGUCGUGCAAGUCGCGUGUGAAAGCCCCCGGCUCAACUGGGGAGGGUCACGCGAUACUGCUCGACUUGAAGGCAGGAGAGGGAAGUGGAAUUCCAGGUGUAGCGGUGAAAUGCGUAGAUAUCUGGAGGAACACCGGUGGCGAAGGCGGCAUCCUGGACCGGUAUUGACGCUGAGGCGCGAAAGCUAGGGGAGCAAACGGG
This 253-nucleotide ribosomal RNA is filed under the name uncultured bacterium. Its description in RNAcentral is "partial 16S ribosomal RNA". It matches the Rfam family "Bacterial small subunit ribosomal RNA", at positions 524 to 776 of the family's 1533-position model. The record is from RNAcentral.